This is a long non-coding RNA of Lycium ferocissimum, 1789 nucleotides long. RefSeq lists it as uncharacterized. Lineage: Eukaryota; Viridiplantae; Streptophyta; Magnoliopsida; Solanales; Solanaceae. The record is from RefSeq and is a predicted model, not a curated record. The transcript is spliced from 3 exons.
CACUUUUCUUUAUAAAAUUUUAAUCUGAGUUCGUUUUAGUAUAGGGUCCUUAAUAGAUUUCAUUAAAGAGUACCAAGAAGGUACAAAGUAGAAGAUUUCCUUCUACAUGUUGAAGGAAUGCAAAAGAGCUAACAUAGAGUUCAUAUCCGAUACAAUAUUCUUCCUACACCAUAGCAAAUGCAAGUCGGGACUGCCUUCCAAUAUAAUCUGUUGUUCCCAGAGGAUUACUGGUCAUCCGAGCUACUUUGAGGAAGUUUAUGCAACCUGGCAUAACCCAUUUGACUCCAAAAGUUGCUAGAAACAUGGCCUAGAGUUACCUGGUGAAAGUACAAUGGAGCAAUAUACUGUCAAACAAGCCUCAUGAAUGACAAUGCAAGUGAAGCAAGCAGCUUUAGGGGGUGCGAUUGUCUUCCAGAUUAUUCUCCACGGCCAACUAUGACAGUUUCCUCCCAUUCUCCACAAAAGGUUGUUAUAGGCUUAUAGCAUGUCUUAACUGUAAACCUGCCAUCCUUUCUAAAUUUGCACCUCAAUGUGUCAGUCUCCUGAUCAUCAAUGGAUACUGCUUCCAGUUUCUGAACGUGUUAAUACCUUCAAUUACCCAGUCAUAUAAAUUUCUUCUCAAGUAAAGAUUCCAUCCCCAAGUGGAGUAGCAAUCUGCCACAGUACAACUCUUGUUGAUACAAACAUCAGAAAUGUCAGGAAAUUGUUCCUUUAGAGGGGAUCAUCAAGCCAUCUGUCAGUCCACAUCUUCACGCUUUCCACUACUAACCUUCAACCUGACACUAUCAAAGAAUUCAUCUUAGAGGUUCCUAUAUGCUUCCAGACAGCUAAGCCAGAUGCUCCCUUGACACUGUUGGUGCACCAUACCUCACUUUUGCCAUAUUUAACAUAAAUAACAUUCUUCCAACAGUCAUCACUGCUAUCAUUGUACCUUUAAUGUCAUUUUAAUAACAAACUUUUAUUUUGCAAUUCAAAUUCUUCACUCGCAAACCUCCAACUUUUUAAUUCCUUGUUAUGAUUCCCCAAUUCACCAAAUGGAAUUUCCCUUUGUCUUGGUUACCAUCCCACGGAAAGUUUCUUCUUAACCUAUCAAGUUGUUUUGCCACCUUCACUAGCACUGGGAAUAGGGACAUCAUACGGGUGGGGAUUCCAUCCAAUACACUAUUUGUUAGCGUCACCACUGAAAGAGAUGUACUAUUUUUUCCAAGCUGCCAGCUUCCUUUCGGUUUUUUCAGUUACCCCUUGCCAACCAUUAACAUCUUUCCUUCUUGCCCCAAAGGCAUACCAAGUUAUGCGGCAGGGAAAACCUCAAUCUUGCAACAUAAAAUUUCAGCCAGAUUAUGAAUUAUGUGAUCAGCAUCUACGGAGAAGAUACUGCUUUUUGCCAAAUUUACAUGUAGGCUAGAUAUGGCCUUGAAAGCUAAGAGGAUUGCUUUCUCAAGUAUAAGAGUUGCUCUGUCUGUACCACACGGAACAAGGGUAUCAUCUGCAUAAAAAAUGCGAGACACUUCCACUUUGUUUCCAUUCCUCUCUUGUACAUGAAAUCCUUCAAUCCACUUAAAAUAUGCAGCCCUCUUAAGCAUCAGACUCAUAACCUCCAUUGCAAGUAUAAACAGAUAGGGUGAGAGAGGACUGCCUGCCGCAAACCUUUACCUUCAGGUGAGCCAUUAAUAAUGAUGGAUAUUCUGACAGUAGUGACGCAGUACCUGAUCUAUUGAGAGGUAUUAAGUUUUUUAUCAUCCUGGCGUUUGAGCCAUUUUUCCGCAAGAAAUCGCCUACAGUAUCAUCA